Molecule: ribosomal RNA, 440 nt
Filed under: uncultured bacterium
Lineage: Bacteria
Description: partial 16S ribosomal RNA
Rfam family: Bacterial small subunit ribosomal RNA
Source: RNAcentral
CCUACGGGCGGCUGCAGUGGGGAAUUUUGCACAAUGGGGGAAACCCUGAUGCAGCGACGCCGCGUGAGUGAAGAAGUAUUUCGGUACGUAAAGCUCUGUCAGCAGGGAAGAAAAUGACGUUACCUGACUGAUAAGCCCCUGCUAACUACUUGCCAGCAGCCGCGGUAAUACGUAGGGGGCGAGCGUUAUCCGGAUUUACUGGGUGUAAAGGGAGCGUAGAUGGCAGCGCAAGUCUGGAGUGAAAGCCCAUGGGUUAACCAUGGAUCUGCUUUGGAAACUGUGCAGCUGGAGUGCAGGAGAGGUAAGCGGAAUUCCUAGGGUAGCGGUGAAAUGCGUAGAUAUUAGGAGGAACACCAGCGGCGAAGGCGGCUUACUGGACUGUAACUGACGUUGAGGAUCGAAAGCGUGGGGAGCAAACAGGAUUAGAUACCCCGGUAGUC